AACGCACAUUGCGCCCGCCGGCACUCCGGCGGGCAUGCCUGUCCGAGCGCCAUCCCAGCCCUCAGGCCCAGCCUGGCGUUGGGGGAUCCGCGAACCGCCUGGGGCGUCAGCCCCUCGCAGCGCGCCCCCGAAAUGCAGCGGCGCCGCCACCCGGCCCGUCCACCGCGCAGUAAAUCACGCCGUCGCGGAGGGACCCGGGGGGAAGGCAGCCAAACCGAAGUCUUACUUCAAUAACUAAGCUGGCCUCGGAUCAGGUAGGACUACCCGCUGAACUUAA
RNAcentral lists this unclassified non-coding RNA (277 nucleotides) under uncultured fungus. RNAcentral describes it as "partial contains 5.8S ribosomal RNA, internal transcribed spacer 2, and large subunit ribosomal RNA". The record is from RNAcentral. Lineage: Eukaryota; Fungi.